This 484-nucleotide ribosomal RNA is filed under the name uncultured bacterium. RNAcentral's name for it is "partial 16S ribosomal RNA". It matches the Rfam family "Bacterial small subunit ribosomal RNA", at positions 28 to 523 of the family's 1533-position model. The record is from RNAcentral.
GACGAACGCUGGCGGCGUGCUUAACACAUGCAAGUCGAACGAUGAAGCCGGAGCUUGCUCUGGUGAAUUAGUGGCGAACGGGUGAGUAACACGUGAGUAACCUGCCCUUGACUCUGGGAUAACUGCUAGAAAUGGUAGCUAAUACCGGAUACGACCCUCGGAGGCAUCUCCAGGGGGUGGAAAGAAUUUCGGUCAAGGAUGGACUCGCGGCCUAUCAGCUAGUUGGUGAGGUAACGGCUCACCAAGGCGACGACGGGUAGCCGGCCUGAGAGGGGGACCGGCCACACUGGGACUGAGACACGGCCCAGACUCCUACGGGAGGCAGCAGUGGGGAAUAUUGCACAAUGGGCGCAAGCCUGAUGCAGCAACGCCGCGUGAGGGAUGACGGCCUUCGGGUUGUAAACCUCUUUUAGUAGGGAAGAAGCGAAAGUGACGGUACCUGCAGAAAAAGCACCGGCUAACUACGUGCCAGCCGCCGCCGUAA